AACGAACGCUGGCGGCAGGCCUAACACAUGCAAGUCGAGCGCGCCCUUCGGGGUGAGCGGCGGACGGGUGAGUAACGCGUGGGAACGUGCCCUUUUCUACGGAAUAGCCUCGGGAAACUGAGAGUAAUACCGUAUACGCCCUUUGGGGGAAAGAUUUAUCGGAAAAGGAUCGGCCCGCGUUGGAUUAGGUAGUUGGUGGGGUAAUGGCCUACCAAGCCGACGAUCCAUAGCUGGUUUGAGAGGAUGCUCAGCCACACUGGGACUGAGACACGGCCCAGACUCCUACGGGAGGCAGCAGUGGGGAAUCUUAGACUAUGGGGGCAACCCUGAUCUAGCCAUGCCGCGUGAGUGAUGAAGGCCUUAGGGUUGUAAAGCUCUUUCAGCUGGGAAGAUAAUGACGGUACCAGCAGAAGAAGCCCCGGCUAACUCCGUG
This 433-nucleotide ribosomal RNA is filed under the name uncultured bacterium. RNAcentral's name for it is "partial 16S ribosomal RNA". It matches the Rfam family "Bacterial small subunit ribosomal RNA", at positions 29 to 507 of the family's 1533-position model. The record is from RNAcentral.